Long non-coding RNA from Alosa alosa (allis shad), 402 nucleotides. RefSeq lists it as uncharacterized. The transcript is spliced from 2 exons. The record is from RefSeq and is a predicted model, not a curated record. Lineage: Eukaryota; Metazoa; Chordata; Actinopteri; Clupeiformes; Clupeidae.
GCGACAGACCUGGAGCUACUUCAAUGGUGACAGCCAACAGAUUGUGGCUUCAUCAAGGAGUUCUCCAACCUGGCCUUCCUCACAGUCAAGGGAGCGGCGUCACAGUGUUCCUGCUAACAAACCCAUUGCCGCUUACACAAUGUUCUACCGGUUCAUAACCAAACAGCCUUACUGAGAGGGGUCCUGCUCACUCGUCACCACUCCCACACUUGCAUUACUUGCACAGCCUUUCUUUGCAUAGGCUAUGAUUAUAACUCUGAAAUACAAUCAGCACUUGACCUACUGUAUAUGAAUGUUUUAAGGAAAGAUCUAAUGAUGAGGCUGAUGACUGCCUGUACAUUCCCUACCCAGGCUGUGCAUCAGCUCUAGUAUGUUCAGCAUUAAACGGUACCCUUUUAUCAA